Molecule: long non-coding RNA, 365 nt
Filed under: Equus asinus (donkey)
Lineage: Eukaryota; Metazoa; Chordata; Mammalia; Perissodactyla; Equidae
Description: lncRNA (ENSEASG00005032832.1)
Source: RNAcentral
GCUGCCCCAUGCAUGACCGGUGAUGCUUGUCCUGGGUUGUCUGAAGUUUCGCACUUAAGUAUCUCUGGUGAGAUUCCCCACGGACAGCUUUACGCAGCACACUAGGGGGUGGGCUUCUUGAAGAUCCAUUACCAUGGCUUACUCGCAGAGUCCUUUCAGACGAUUGGCCCUGAGCUAACAUCUGUUGCCAAUCUUCCUCUUUUUGCUUGAAGAAGAUUGUUGCUGAGCUAACAUCUGUGCCAAUCUUGCUCUGCUUUAGUGGGAUGCCGCUGCAGUGUGGCCUGAUGAGAGCUGAUAGAUCCCACCUGAGAUCAGAACCUGCAAACCUUGGGUGACCGAAGCAGAGCACAUGAACUUAACCACUG